GGGCUUGUAGCUCAGUUGGUAUGAGCGCGCCCCUGAUAAGGGCGAGGUCAUUGGUUCGAGUCCAAUCAGGCCCA
This 74-nucleotide transfer RNA is filed under the name Phycisphaerales bacterium. It matches the Rfam family "tRNA". Rfam says of the family: Transfer RNA (tRNA) molecules are approximately 80 nucleotides in length. The record is from Rfam by way of RNAcentral. Lineage: Bacteria; Pseudomonadati; Planctomycetota; Phycisphaerae; Phycisphaerales.